This 233-nucleotide long non-coding RNA is filed under the name Helianthus annuus (common sunflower). RNAcentral's name for it is "hypothetical non coding rna". Lineage: Eukaryota; Viridiplantae; Streptophyta; Magnoliopsida; Asterales; Asteraceae. The record is from RNAcentral.
UUUCUAUCUUUCAUCCCCCGCCUCAAUAAUUCAACUCCCUCAUCUCUACCACAAUACAACACCCUCACCACCAAACGUCACUCGCAGCACCGCAAUAAGGCAACCAUUUGGCCACUACCACUAUGGUACCACCACCUAACCACCACUUAAGAAACUUGCUAGAGAGAGAACAGGGCGUGGACGGUUUGCGGUGGUGCAUGUGUGAAUAUUCCGGUCGACAUUUGAUAGCAUAG